Molecule: unclassified non-coding RNA, 293 nt
Filed under: uncultured Venturiaceae
Lineage: Eukaryota; Fungi; Ascomycota; Dothideomycetes; Venturiales; Venturiaceae
Description: sequence contains ITS1
Rfam family: 5.8S ribosomal RNA (bases 1-105)
Source: RNAcentral
GAAAUGCGAUAAGUAAUGUGAAUUGCAGAAUUCAGUGAAUCAUCGAAUCUUUGAACGCACAUUGCGCCCCCUGGUAUUCCGGGGGGCACACCUGUUCGAGCGCCAUUUUCACCAUCGAGCCCUGCUCGGAGAUGGGCAUCGUCCUCGCGGACCGGCCCGAAACCUGUGGGCGCCUCCGUCCGGCCCUGAGCGUAGCAAGAGAAAUCCCUCGCUCGGUGGACCGUCCGGCGGCUGCCCCGACCAUUUUUUACAAGGUUGGCCUCGGAUCAGGUGGGGAUACCCGCUGAACUUAA